This is a long non-coding RNA of Equus caballus (horse), 1475 nucleotides long. RefSeq lists it as uncharacterized. The record is from RefSeq and is a predicted model, not a curated record. NCBI's taxonomy places the organism in Eukaryota, Metazoa, Chordata, Mammalia, Perissodactyla, Equidae.
CAGGGGCUUCUGGAACCUCGUGAUGGGCAGGUGUGGUCCGCCUUCUGCAUGAGCCCAACUUCUGGGCCUCACUGAGCUGCACAGCUACAGGGAGGAGCCUGGAUCUCUAUGGCCUCGCUCUCUGGCAGUAGAGUUGAACUUUACAGGAGACCCCUUCCCUCACUCCAGAGCUGUCAGAGGUAAAAAUGAGCACUGAUGCAAUGUCUUCUGUGGGCUGCUGGUUUUGCUAUCGACCCCUGCAUACAAUCCAGGAAGUUGUCUCCUUCUCUUUCCUGCAGAGGAAUUGUGUUUGACUAGGAAAGAGGUGAGAGCUUUGGAGAUUGUGAUGAUUUGUGCUUUAGACGGUGGAAGAGCCUUCAGGGAAGGUGAGGCUGGGGGGAAAUUCUCCAAGAGGGAAAGCAACACACCUAUAAACACACUUGGAAAGGUGAGGGCUGUCUCUCCACUUUGUGCUGUGUCUGGGGCCACCUCCUGAGAAAGGAAGUGGAGGACAGGAGAAACAGUCUCAAAAAGAGAAAGGAAACAGCAUGUUGGCCUCCUUCUUUUUCACCUCUGGGAUGGUCUCUACCCAAGCACAAAGCUUGUGUCCAGGAAUAUGUUGGCCAACACUCAGCUGGUGACCCUUUAAUGUCCAAGCAUCCAUAGUCAAGCACUGACUGCUAUGGCUGUUCCCCAUUGCUUCCUUUUGACCCCUGCCUCCUCCUCAGGGACUGACUGGAUGUCAAGGCCAGGAGAGGUGUUAGAACAAGAGGAGAAUGCAGAGCAGGCCCAAUCAUCCUCUAUGAGGUGGCAAGACUCCUCCUCCCCUUGUGAGGUCUCCAUUCUAUCCUGUUGUUCUGAAAUGAUGAAUUCCAUUCUGGGAGGCCCAUCCAUGGCCCCUGCUGAGAACCAGACAAACCCUUUGCUUCAGCCUCCAUCAUAUUACCCUUCCUCACAACUCCAGCAAUCUUCCCACCUUCCAUCAGACUCUAACCUCUUUGGAGGGUAGGGUUUUUAGUACCUUGAUGGUCAAGAGCAUUGGAUUUGGAGCCAGGAGGAUCUUUAGCAUCAAUAUCUGUGAAAGGAAGGAGAAGAAAGCAGAAUUGGGAGAAGGAGAAGUCGAGAUGCCAUGAACUCCCAAUGAAGACCUCAGCUGCCUCCCAUGGAGCUCUAGUGCUGGGAUGCUCCUUCAGAGUGUCCUGAGCUGGAGUGAGAGCUCUGGGCCUUCAUAUAACCAUGUGGAUGAGUCAUGGUUUGUGGCAUGUUACCAGGCAUGACCUUUUGCAAGCUAGCUCUCCUCACCUGAGGCAAUUCCAAAGAGGGCUGACAGCUGAGGGCCGUCUUCUCCAGACUGGUGCAUCACAACAUCCACCAGGCUCUUCAGAAUGUCUUCCACCUGGGAAUCCUUGGACUUAGGACAGAAUCAGUUGUUAAACAUUUGCCAUCUCACCACUGAACAUAAGCAUGUUGAAGGAGGAAUUGAAUAGGAGAAAAAA